GUUAUAUCGAGAAUUAGCCAGUGUCCAGUAUGACGCGACUCCACGCGCCAACAAGAACGUAAUUACCAUUUGCGAUUCAAGUCAACGGGAGACGGAUACAAGACCAAAAGAGAUGUUAGCCAAACAAAGAUGUCAAUGACGGAAUGCCGCGUAUUGGUUAAAAGCGGUUUAUGCCAGACUCAAUCACCCGAGACAUCGGAGAAUGCAUUUGAAUUAUUAAACUGAUCAGACAUCAACUA
This is a long non-coding RNA of Pieris napi, 239 nucleotides long. RefSeq lists it as uncharacterized. The record is from RefSeq and is a predicted model, not a curated record. The transcript is spliced from 2 exons. NCBI's taxonomy places the organism in Eukaryota, Metazoa, Arthropoda, Insecta, Lepidoptera, Pieridae.